Molecule: ribosomal RNA, 1403 nt
Filed under: uncultured bacterium
Lineage: Bacteria
Description: bacterial SSU rRNA
Rfam family: Bacterial small subunit ribosomal RNA
Source: RNAcentral
UUAGAGUUUGAUUCUGGCUCAGGAUGAACGCUAGCGAUAGGCCUUACACAUGCAAGUCGAGGGGCAGCACAAAGAUAGUAGCAAUACUGUUUUGGUGGCGACCGGCGCACGGGUGAGUAACGCGUAUGCAACCUUCCUACUACUUUGGGAUAGCUCGUCGAAAGGCGAAUUAAUACCUUAUAAUACAGCUACUCUGCAUGGAGUUAUCUGUUAAAGAUUCAUCGGUAGUAGAUGGGCAUGCGUUCCAUUAGUUAGUUGGUGAGGUAACUGCUCACCAAGGCAUCGAUGGAUAGGGGAACUGAGAGGUUUUACCCCCACACUGGAACUGAGACACGGUCCAGACUCCUACGGGAGGCAGCAGUGAGGAAUCUUGGUCAAUGGAGGAGACUCUGAACCAGCCAUAUCGCGUGAAGGAUGACUGCCCUACGGGUUGUAAACUUCUUUUUUAAGGGAAUAAAGUGAGCCACGUGUGGCUUUUUGCAUGUACCUUACGAAUAAAGAUCGGCUAACUACGUGCCAGCAGCCGCGGUAAUACGUAGGUGGCGAGCGUUGUCCGGAUUUACUGGGUGUAAAGGGCGUGUAGGCGGGCAUGUAAGUCAGAUGUGAAAUACCGGGGCUCAACUCCGGGGCUGCAUCUGAAACUGCAUAUCUUGAGUGUUGGAGGGGAAAGUGGAAUUCCUAGUGUAGCGGUGAAAUGCGUAGAUAUUAGGAGGAACACCAGUGGCGAAGGCGGCUUUCUGGCCAAACACUGACGCUGAGGCGCGAAAGCGUGGGGAGCAAACAGGAUUAGAUACCCUGGUAGUCCACGCCGUAAACGAGGGAUACUAGGUAUAGGGAGAUAUUCUUUCUUUGCCGCAGCUAACGUAUUAAUUAUCCCCCCCGGGGAGUACGGCCGCAGGGCUGAAACUCAAAGGAAUUGACGGGGACCCGCACACGCAGUGGAGUAUGUGGUUUAAUUUGAAGCAACGCGAAGAACCUUACCAAGGCGUGACAUAAUACUGAAUAUUCUAGAGAUAGGAUAGGCCUUCGGGACAGUAUUACAGGUGGUGCAUGGUUGUCGUCAGCUCGUGUCGUGAGAUGUUGGGUUAAGUCCCGUAACGAGCGCAACCCCCGUUAUUAGUUGCCAUCAGGUUAUGCUGGGCACUCUAAUGAGACAAUCGGUGAUAAACCGGGGGAAGGUGGGGGGGACGUCAAAUCAUCAUGCCCCCUAUGUCUUGGGGUACACACGUACUACAAUGGCUAUUACAACAGGUAGCGAAGGAGUAAUCCGGAGCCAAUCCCCAAAGAUAGUCCCAGUUCGGAUUGUGGGGUGCAACUCGCCCAUAUAAAGUCGGAAUUGCUAGUAAUUGCAGGUCAGCAUACUGCAGUGAAUAAGUUCCCGGGUCUUGUACUCACCGCCCGUC